GACGAACGCUGGCGGCGUGCUUAACACAUGCAAGUCGAACGGAAAGGCCCUGCUUUUGUGGGGUGCUCGAGUGGCGAACGGGUGAGUAGCACGUGAGUAACCUGCCCUUGACUUUGGGAUAACUUCAGGAAACUGGGGCUAAUACCGGAUAGGAGCUCCUGCUGCAUGGUGGGGGUUGGAAAGUUUCGGCGGUUGGGGAUGGACUCGCGGCUUAUCAGCUUGUUGGUGGGGUAGUGGCUUACCAAGGCUUUGACGGGUAGCCGGCCUGAGAGGGUGACCGGCCACAUUGGGACUGAGAUACGGCCCAGACUCCUACGGGAGGCAGCAGUGGGGAAUAUUGCACAAUGGGCGGAAGCCUGAUGCAGCAACGCCGCGUGCGGGAUGACGGCCUUCGGGCUGUAAACCGCUUUCGCCUGCGACGAAGCGUGAGUGACGGUAAUGGGUAAAGAAGCACCGGCUAACUACGUG
RNAcentral lists this ribosomal RNA (468 nucleotides) under uncultured bacterium. RNAcentral's name for it is "partial 16S ribosomal RNA". It matches the Rfam family "Bacterial small subunit ribosomal RNA", at positions 28 to 507 of the family's 1533-position model. The record is from RNAcentral.